RNAcentral lists this ribosomal RNA (1530 nucleotides) under Escherichia coli. RNAcentral's name for it is "bacterial SSU rRNA". It matches the Rfam family "Bacterial small subunit ribosomal RNA". The record is from RNAcentral. Lineage: Bacteria; Pseudomonadati; Pseudomonadota; Gammaproteobacteria; Enterobacterales; Enterobacteriaceae. RNAcentral also lists the same sequence under 1 other name.
AGAGUUUGAUCAUGGCUCAGAUUGAACGCUGGCGGCAGGCCUAACACAUGCAAGUCGAACGGUAACAGGAAGCAGCUUGCUGCUUCGCUGACGAGUGGCGGACGGGUGAGUAAUGUCUGGGAAGCUGCCUGAUGGAGGGGGAUAACUACUGGAAACGGUAGCUAAUACCGCAUAAUGUCGCAAGACCAAAGAGGGGGACCUUCGGGCCUCUUGCCAUCGGAUGUGCCCAGAUGGGAUUAGCUUGUUGGUGGGGUAACGGCUCACCAAGGCGACGAUCCCUAGCUGGUCUGAGAGGAUGACCAGCCACACUGGAACUGAGACACGGUCCAGACUCCUACGGGAGGCAGCAGUGGGGAAUAUUGCACAAUGGGCGCAAGCCUGAUGCAGCCAUGCCGCGUGUAUGAAGAAGGCCUUCGGGUUGUAAAGUACUUUCAGCGGGGAGGAAGGGAGUAAAGUUAAUACCUUUGCUCAUUGACGUUACCCGCAGAAGAAGCACCGGCUAACUCCGUGCCAGCAGCCGCGGUAAUACGGAGGGUGCAAGCGUUAAUCGGAAUUACUGGGCGUAAAGCGCACGCAGGCGGUUUGUUAAGUCAGAUGUGAAAUCCCCGGGCUCAACCUGGGAACUGCAUCUGAUACUGGCAAGCUUGAGUCUCGUAGAGGGGGGUAGAAUUCCAGGUGUAGCGGUGAAAUGCGUAGAGAUCUGGAGGAAUACCGGUGGCGAAGGCGGCCCCCUGGACGAAGACUGACGCUCAGGUGCGAAAGCGUGGGGAGCAAACAGGAUUAGAUACCCUGGUAGUCCACGCCGUAAACGAUGUCGACUUGGAGGUUGUGCCCUUGAGGCGUGGCUUCCGGAGCUAACGCGUUAAGUCGACCGCCUGGGGAGUACGGCCGCAAGGUUAAAACUCAAAUGAAUUGACGGGGGCCCGCACAAGCGGUGGAGCAUGUGGUUUAAUUCGAUGCAACGCGAAGAACCUUACCUGGUCUUGACAUCCACGGAAGUUUUCAGAGAUGAGAAUGUGCCUUCGGGAACCGUGAGACAGGUGCUGCAUGGCUGUCGUCAGCUCGUGUUGUGAAAUGUUGGGUUAAGUCCCGCAACGAGCGCAACCCUUAUCCUUUGUUGCCAGCGGUCCGGCCGGGAACUCAAAGGAGACUGCCAGUGAUAAACUGGAGGAAGGUGGGGAUGACGUCAAGUCAUCAUGGCCCUUACGACCAGGGCUACACACGUGCUACAAUGGCGCAUACAAAGAGAAGCGACCUCGCGAGAGCAAGCGGACCUCAUAAAGUGCGUCGUAGUCCGGAUUGGAGUCUGCAACUCGACUCCAUGAAGUCGGAAUCGCUAGUAAUCGUGGAUCAGAAUGCCACGGUGAAUACGUUCCCGGGCCUUGUACACACCGCCCGUCACACCAUGGGAGUGGGUUGCAAAAGAAGUAGGUAGCUUAACCUUCGGGAGGGCGCUUACCACUUUGUGAUUCAUGACUGGGGUGAAGUCGUAACAAGGUAACCGUAGGGGAACCUGCGGUUGGAUCACCU